This 442-nucleotide ribosomal RNA is filed under the name uncultured bacterium. Its description in RNAcentral is "partial 16S ribosomal RNA". It matches the Rfam family "Bacterial small subunit ribosomal RNA", at positions 338 to 795 of the family's 1533-position model. The record is from RNAcentral.
CCUACGGGCGGCAGCAGUGGGGAAUAUUGGGCAAUGGGCGCAAGCCUGACCCAGCAACGCCGCGUGAAGGACGAAGGCUUUCGGGUUGUAAACUUCUUUUAAGAGGGAAGAGAAGAAGACGGUACCUCUUGAAUAAGCCACGGCUAACUACGUGCCAUCAGCCGCGGUAAUACGUAGGUGGCAAGCGUUUUCCGGAUUUACUGGGUGUCAAGGGCGUGCAGCCGGGCUGACAAGUCAGAUGUGAAAUCCCGCGGCUCAACCGCGGAACUGCAUUUGAAACUGUCAGUCUGGAGUCGCGGAGAGGGCAUCGGAAUGCCGGGUGUAGCGGUGAAAUGCGUAGAUAUAAGGAAGAACACCAGGGGCGAAGGCGGAUGACUGGAGGGCAACUGACGGUGAGGCGCGAAAGCGUGGGGAGCAAACAGGAUUAGAUACCCCAGUAGUC